Molecule: ribosomal RNA, 497 nt
Filed under: uncultured bacterium
Lineage: Bacteria
Description: partial 16S ribosomal RNA
Rfam family: Bacterial small subunit ribosomal RNA
Source: RNAcentral
GAUGAACGCUCGCGGCGUGCCUAAUACAUGCAAGUCGAGCGAACGGACGAGAAGCUUGCUUCUCUGAUGUUAGCGGCGGACGGGUGAGUAACACGUGGAUAACCUACCUAUAAGACUGGGAUAACUUCGGGAAACCGGAUCUAAUACCGGAUGAUAUUUUGAACCGCAUGGUUCAAAAGUGAAAGACGGUCUUGCUGUCACUUAUAGAUGGAUCCGCGCUGCAUUAGCUAGUUGGUAAGGUAACGGCCUACCAAGGCAACGAUGCAUAGCCGACCUGAGAGGGUGAUCGGCCACACUGGAACUGAGACACGGUCCAGACUCCUACGGGAGGCAGCAGUAGGGAAUCUUCCGCAAUGGGCGAAGGCCUGACGGAGCAACGCCGCGUGAGUGAUGAAGGUCUUCGGAUCGUAAAACUCUGUUAUUAGGGAAGAACAUAUGUGUAAGUAACUGUGCACAUCUUGACGGUACCUAAUCAGAAAGCCACGGCUAACUACGUG